RNAcentral lists this ribosomal RNA (893 nucleotides) under Homopterus steinbachi. RNAcentral describes it as "eukaryotic LSU rRNA". It matches the Rfam family "Eukaryotic large subunit ribosomal RNA", at positions 162 to 813 of the family's 3401-position model. Lineage: Eukaryota; Metazoa; Arthropoda; Insecta; Coleoptera; Carabidae. The record is from RNAcentral.
CUCUUAACCAAUUUAUAUGUAUUUGUAGUUCAAGUCCUUCUUGAAUGGGGCCACACUUCCAUAGAGGGUGCCAGGCCCGUAGAGCUUAUAUAGUUUAUAUUGGUGAGUUUCUCCUUAGAGUCGAGUUGCUUGAGAGUGCAGCUCUAAGUAGGUGGUAAACUCCAUCUAAGGCUAAAUAUAACCACGAGACCGAUAGAUAACAAGUACCGUGAGGGAAAGUUGAAAAGAACUUUGAAGAGAGAGUUCAAAAGUACGUGAAACCGUUCAGAAGUAAACCUGUUAUACUCUAAAAUUUAUAUAAUAUACAGGGAGAUUCAACAUCUUUACCGAAUAUAACGCAACAUUAAUAUAGAGACGACUGAUGCAUUUCAUAAUUAAUAUAUAUAUAUAUAUUUUAUUAUUUUACUUUAUGUUAAUAGCAGUGUUCGCUCAAUUUUUGUGUGUAAUGUUUAUAUCGGAGUUGUGCACUUCUUCCUGUAUUUUAUUACGUUGCGACUCGUUGUUGUACUAUUUUAUGGUUUAUAAUAUUAGACCGUGGCACAUAAGUCAAUAUGUACUUAUAUGACCCGGAAUUAUAGUAUACCUAAUAGUCAAUACAACGUUAUUAUAUUAUUAUAUGUGUUCAUAAUAUAUAUAUAUAUAUUUUUUGUACACAUUUGUCUGCAACGUAUUUAAUUAUAUGAGUAAUAACAGGACCCGUCUUGAAACACGGACCAAGGAGUCUAGCAUAUAUGCAAGUCAUCGAGUCAAUAUAUUAGACUCAGAGGCGUAAUUAACGUAAAUAUAUUUGAAAUUUAUAUUUAUAUAAAUUUUACAGUUAAGGGAAGAUGUUUAAUAUAUACAAUACAUACACAUAUUUUAUGUAUAUAACGAAAUUAAACCGCAUUCCUGGG